Brachypodium distachyon (stiff brome) is the source of this 3414-nucleotide long non-coding RNA. RefSeq lists it as uncharacterized. NCBI's taxonomy places the organism in Eukaryota, Viridiplantae, Streptophyta, Magnoliopsida, Poales, Poaceae. The transcript is spliced from 3 exons. The record is from RefSeq and is a predicted model, not a curated record.
CCGUCUCCCCAACGGCUCCUCCCCGUUUUCUCCCAAAAGAAAGGAAAAAAAAGAACUCCUCCCCAUACGUCGCCGCCUCGCCUCUUUCAUCUCUUUCUCAACCCGCCAUUACUGCCGCCGUCUCCUUCCCAUCCGGGCCGAAUCGCCGCCGCCGCCGCCCCUUUCUCCUCAGGGCCGCUGCCUCCUCCUUCCCUGCAAUCUCCAGCUCUUCCGCUCCACUGGCAAUGGCGGAAACCCUCGUCCGCCUCCGGCUAGCCGCCUCCGCCGUCCAGCAGUAUCAAAUACGGCGGAAUCUUAUGUGCCACGCGGGCCCACUAUCGUCUCAGCCCGUUCCGUCGCGGCCGACUGUGCCUCCAGGCGGUGGUCGCGGCGGAGGUGGACGAGGACGACGCGAUGAGAAUCGACAACUUGUGCCGCUUCUUUGACCUCAACGUUGGCAAGUGGAACGGCUUCUUCUACGUAUGUUCUCCGGCCUUUUAGUCUUGACUUUUCAUGUUUCUGGGUUUGUAAUUUGGUGGCCAAGUGCUGUUUGUGUGUUUGCCUCUGUUGAUCUGUUCAGCAAUUCGUUGUGCAUGGGAGGGUGCUGCAGGGAAUUAGCACGCGGCUGCCCGUGAGCACAUAUGGGGAGGGAAAAUCGUCUCUCUCAGUUGAAUAUUGUAGAUCAACAUAAAUAUAAGCAAGUAACAGAGAUGGAAGGAGACACUACCAGGUACAAGUGAAAAUACUCACAAUAAAGGCCUAAGAGGUCAUACUAUGUACCUUCAGAUAUCCCUCAGAUAUUAUGCUAUUUGAUUUCUUUCCUAUAUGGUACAUCGAGGGCUGUAGUUCCAUCAUUUUGUUUGGCCUAUAAUCUGCUGGCUAUUAUGGAAUGAGAAGAAACAAAAGGUAAGACGCUGAAUUGUCCUAGCUAUUUUGCCCAUUUUUUAAUGAACAAGUGGCUGAUAAUUUAGCACGAUCCAUUGUUGUCUUCUACAAGUUUUGAAUAAAGUAAUGGCUGAUACCCUUAGAUAUUAUACUAUUUGAUUUCUUUCCUAUAUGCAAACAAUGAAGGAUAUAUAUAGUUAUGGUACAUUGAGGGCUGGAGUUCCAUCAUUUUGUUUGGCCUCUAAUCUGCUGUCUAUUAUAGAUGGAGAAGGACAAAAAAAGGUAAGACGCUGAAUUAUCCUUAGCUAUUUUGCCCAUUUUUGAAUGAACAAGUGGCUGAUAGUUUACCACGAUACACUAUUGUAUUCUUCAAGUUUUGAAUGAAGUAAUGGUUGAUAAUUUACCAUUGAUUUUCAAGUCAAACCAUCUAAAUCCUCCUAAUUCCCGCCUGAACACGUGGGGUAUCAUCUAGUAAUUAUAAUUUAGGUGCCCAUUGUAAUGAGCUCUCAAGAUGGGUUUCCAUGGCUUUCUGAUAGAUGGACUGUGGUUUUGUCUUCUGUUUGGGGAAUCAAGGAAGUAAUAAUUUCUGUCAACAUUCCAAGGUAACCACAUGUAUCUAUCUGUUCUCUUUUGGACUAAUAUAUGGCUAAAUAGUGUUUAUUUAAUCGUGAAAUAACUGUUUCCCUCCACGCGAGAUGUUAUUUCUUAUUCUCAUCUCUACAUGGAGUACUAUUUUUCCACAUAAUGUUAUAUUUACUAAACUAGCAGAUCGUCCAUAUGAGAUUGAAGGGAUACCAGAUGGAGAACCAGUAGAAGCAUUUUUCUAUCCACUACAUUUAGUUACUCGAGUUUUCUUGAUUAUGUUGUACUAAGUGUUAUCGAACUUUUUUGGCCAAGAAAAGGUUAAAAGCCCUACAACAUUUGGUUUUGAUUAUGCUUGGCCUGAAUUAUCUUGCUAGUUGCAUCUUAGGUUCAGGGUUCACCAGCAUACAGAUCCUCAUACACUACUAAAAAGGAUGUACGGCAUUGUUGAGUAAAUUUUGGUAAACCAUAUCAGUUGUAUUUUGUGUGGCUAUAGGUAUUUUGAGCGAAAUGUUGUUAUGACAUCUACCGUCUCACAUAUCUAAUUUUCUCUACUCUUGUGAUUGUUCUUGAGUUUACAUUCCUUAGUUUUUUUUUACGAGGGCUGAAUUUAUUGUGGUGUUCAUCUGUGCUCAUUUUUCAUGCUAUCAAUCAGCAUAUAUAUAAACACUGUGUAUUAAAACUUAUUACGUCAAGACACUCUAAAUUUCUGCAUCUUCGCGAGUCAAUCUGUCAUGGAUUUUUUUUUUUAAUCUUGGAUGAAGGAAUCGAUGGAUUUUGUUUCCUGUUUACUGCUCGAGUCUUGCCUUUUUUCUUGCUGUUAAAUUUGCAAGCUUCCAUAGUUCUGCCUUGGCUGUUGCUGUCAAUUUUUCUGGGCAGUGGUAUGAAUCCAGCUUACAAAGCGUACAUGCUCAUGUGGCCCUCUACUAAAAAAAAAGCCACAAUUUUUGUUGUUCAUGUUUUUGUAGCUGCCAUUCUGUUUAUUUGUGUUCGCAAUAAUUGUUGCCAAUCUUGUACUCCCUCCGACCGGUAUUACUUGUCUCAACUUUGCCCAAAUACGGAUGUAUCUAUGUGUAAAAAGUGUCUACAUGUAAUAUUUCGACAAGUAAUUCCGGCCGGAGGGAGUAUAUAACUUACAGCUUAUGGCAUUGAAAGAUAGAGGGGGCGAGAGAGAGAGAACAGUUGUGAUGGUUUUUUUUUUGUCAUUUAGAUGAUGAGGAUUUUAAACUAACAUAGUAUCUGCAUUUCAGAGUGUCAUGAAGAAUAUACCUUACGAGCUAAAUCUUUUUGGCUGGGCACAAUGUAAGCAGGGGUAUUACCACCUGACCCCAAGGAUGGAUUUAAGCUUCUCGUGAAGCACCAACAACCAGUUACUGCCAUUGCUUAUUCCAAGCUCCAAGGGUAGUGAAUUAGUGAUAAAGGUUUUUCAGCAUCGAAAGAUGGUGUCAUGGUCCAACGGGAUGUUGAAACUGGAAAAGGUGAGAAGUACUUGUGCCCAAGUGAAAAAGGUAUUGGUUUCUCAUCAUGCUAAACCACCUCUGUCAGCUAAAGGAAGCAAAACAAGUUCUGGCUUUAGCUGUCAGUUCAGAUGGUCAUUACUCCCUCCGAUCCACAAUAAGUGUCUCAGAUUUAGUACAAAGUUGUACUAAAUCCGAGAGACACUUAUUAUGGAUCGGAAGGAAUACUUGGCAAGUGGGAGCAUAUACAGUUAGAGAUGACAGGAGAGUUGGUAACAGUUUUUGGGAUGGAACUUGAAAAAUGUUCUGUUUUGUUAGUUUAGUGAAGUUAUAAAUUAUUUAUAUUCUGUGUGACCAUACAUUGUGGUUUCUUUACUAAGGUGUACUAUGUUACUAGUGUGAGAUUAGAGACCUGAAAAGAACAACCAGACGAUGUGUAGGCAAGAGUAAUGCAACAUCUACAUGGCAACAUCUAAUUUUGGAUCAACUACGGCAUGGCUAUUUAACAUCA